ACUUAAAUAACUUAAUUAAGAGUGUAAUAUUGAAGAUAUUAAAGUGAUUGAUUUAAUCUUUAAGUA
This 66-nucleotide transfer RNA is filed under the name Limnocentropus hysbald. RNAcentral describes it as "tRNA-Phe". Lineage: Eukaryota; Metazoa; Arthropoda; Insecta; Trichoptera; Limnocentropodidae. The record is from RNAcentral.